GGCAAUAUGGAAUUGCAGGAAUGACUUGGUGUUUAAUAGACAACACGAUUUUCACUUCUUGCAGGUUAUUCACAGGGCUACCGCACUGAUCCGCACUUGGUCAUCACUCACUCCUGUGGACGCCAGGGAGCUUAUGGUUACUGGGUGUGUCCGAUGGGAGAUGGUAGCACAUGGUAUCUUCAACCGGUUUGGAUGGCGUCAUGUUAAUAGGAUAGGUGUUUACUCAUCUAUAUUUCUACCAUCUCCGGCUUGGGCAUGAGUGAUGCCUUGUAUCGUUGAUUUUCUCUUUGCUUCAGACUUAUUGUACUCGAUGGAGACUUAUUUUGGUUUAUAAUGUAUGUCCGUAUGCAUCUCUCGAUGCAGAGGCCGGGGCUCAG
Molecule: long non-coding RNA, 377 nt
Filed under: Hordeum vulgare
Lineage: Eukaryota; Viridiplantae; Streptophyta; Magnoliopsida; Poales; Poaceae
Description: long non-coding RNA (HVUL_LNC006453)
Source: RNAcentral